UAGGGAAUCUUCGGCAAUGGACGAAAGUCUGACCGAGCAACGCCGCGUGAGUGAAGAAGGUUUUCGGAUCGUAAAACUCUGUUGUUAGAGAAGAACAAGGACGUUAGUAACUGAACGUCCCCUGACGGUAUCUAACCAGAAAGCCACGGCUAACUACGUGCCAGCAGCCGCGGUAAUACGUAGGUGGCAAGCGUUGUCCGGAUUUAUUGGGCGUAAAGCGAGCGCAGGCGGUUUCUUAAGUCUGAUGUGAAAGCCCCCGGCUCAACCGGGGAGGGUCAUUGGAAACUGGGAGACUUGAGUGCAGAAGAGGAGAGUGGAAUUCCAUGUGUAGCGGUGAAAUGCGUAGAUAUAUGGAGGAACACCAGUGGCGAAGGCGGCUCUCUGGUCUGUAACUGACGCUGAGGCUCGAAAGCGUGGGGAGCAAAAAGG
RNAcentral lists this ribosomal RNA (429 nucleotides) under Gemmatimonadota bacterium. Its description in RNAcentral is "Gemmatimonadetes bacterium partial 16S ribosomal RNA". It matches the Rfam family "Bacterial small subunit ribosomal RNA", at positions 355 to 776 of the family's 1533-position model. Lineage: Bacteria; Pseudomonadati; Gemmatimonadota. The record is from RNAcentral.